GGCUUAAAACAAUCAAAAUUAUUUAUUGCUUAUGAUAUAGUUGACUAUAGCCCAUCUGGGGACUUUGUUCUACACCACUUUCUGUCAAAGCCACAAGCUGAAGGAUGCCCUACUACUCAAAAUGUUGUCAAUGUGGCAAGAGAAAGGGAAUGUGACUAAUUUUCUUACUGAUUCAUAAGACCUUCCAUGUGCCAUUUCCACUCACAGGUCCAUGACUAACUUCAAGAGGAAUAGUUCAUCCUACCAUGUACUAGUAGAAGGAGAAACAGAAACAUCAGUGAAUAGUACUCAUGACUAGCACAUAACCAUAAAAGUUUAUCAAAUUAUUUUCUCAAACAAAGAUAUAAAAUUCUGGCACCAGUAUCUGAUAGAAUACAAUUUUUCUCAGGUCAUUAUAUACAUUGUUAAAUAACUGAGAGUUAUUCUGUUUUUCUUUCUCUCAGAAGUGGCCUGGGCACACAGGGGACCCAAAGAAGGAAAAGAAUGGGAGCACCAAUGUAUACCAGGCACUGUGGUGGGAACUUUACGUAUGUUUUCUCUCUUAAUACUAACAACAAGGCUGCAAGGUAAAUAUUUUACAUUAUAGUUCAUAAUGAGAAAUAUAAGCUGCAGAGAGGAUAAGUGUGUAAUGAAGAACUAAUCUUACCUGAGGAGAGGCCUGGCCUUUGUUUCAGAUCCUGGCAGGGGUUGGAAGUAGUGGAGGGACUUAAGGUAACUCCAAAGCUCUUGGAAUUUACUGAGUAAUAGGAAGGUCUUUGUUAUUCAUGGUAGACCUCUUGGACCACACACGAUAGUUUGUGCUAAUGAGGUGACUCUGGGUAGGGCUGGCCAUGAAAGAAUCACAUCUAAUCAUGUGAUUAGAUGGUUGGGAUAUCAGCCAUGUGAUAUCUGCCCAGCCUCUGGGAAGAGAGGGGGCUGGAGUUUGAGUUCAACCACAUGAACAAUGACUGAAUUAAUGUGGUAAUGAAACCCCAAUAUGCUGAUGAGGCUUAGGUGAGUUUCCAGGUGUGAAAGGAAAAUAAAUAUUUGGGCCCCCAAAUCUCUAAGGUAAAGGGAAAAAAAUCAAGCUGGGAAUUGCCUAGGACAAAUCUGCCUCCCUUCUCACUUACCUAUGACCGGGAAGCCCCUCGCAUCUUCGAGUUGUCUUGCCUUUCCAGACCAAACCAGUGCUUGUCUUACAUAUGUUUAUUGAUGUCUCAUGUCUCCCUAAAAUGUACAAAAUCAAACUUUGCUCUGACCAUGUUGGGCACAUGUCUUUAGGACCUCCUGAGGCUGUGUCAUAGGUGCACAUUCCCAACCAUGGCAAAAUAAACUCUCUAAAUUAACUGAGACCUGUCUCUGAUUUUGGGGGUUCACAUUUUCCUAACCAUGAAGGGUUGACGAGUGGAGGUACCCCUGACAUUUGACACUUGACAUAUCUCCUAUUGGUGCUGGCUACCAGCAUGAGCUGUCUAUUUGGCUCAAACUAACUGAACAAUUUGCUGAGGCCUGGAAUCACCUCCUCCAGAGAACCCAUGAUUGCCCACAAUUUGGUCAAGACCUGAAGUUUAUUUUGCUGUAUAUCUUUAUAAUCUUUAUUUUGCCGUUUACUUGCUUACAACACAAGGAAGGCAAGUUUUCCAUGACAAUGGGACAGGUAACUCCUUUAUGGAGUUUGAGCUUGCUUUCAAAAGGGAAGAUGAGUUAUUUUUUACUGCUUCUAGAAUGAUAGAUAGCAGUCUUCAACCUGAGACUCAUCUCUAGGUAAGUAACUGAACUGGGGUUUGUCUUGGCUAAAAUUAAGAUUAACAACCAUUUCAUCUUAAUUUCUCCGUAUCAUUAGAGUGUUCAGCAAUGCUAUAAAUUGUGCAAUCCUUUGUUUUUUGGCUUAACAGCUUUGUUGUUGUUGUCGUUUCUUUGUUUCUGUUUUUGUUGUUGUUUCAUGUUUCCCAUUGAGUUUGACCAACUCUACCCAACUUGAUCAAAUCUGAAACAAAAUUCCAAAUUAUAGGGAACAAACUUCUGAAAUGGUUAAAUUCCCCCACCACACACAAAAAGUUGGUAUGACUGGGAGAGAAAAAUGGCCAGCCAAAAAAAAAAAAAAAA
Macaca fascicularis (crab-eating macaque) is the source of this 2085-nucleotide long non-coding RNA. The record is from Ensembl. Lineage: Eukaryota; Metazoa; Chordata; Mammalia; Primates; Cercopithecidae.